UGGCUGUAAUCAGACUUGAAUGCAAAUUUUUGGGUAUAUAAGCUUAACGAAAACUAUAGGUUGACAUAGAUCCAUUUAUGAAACACACCAUAAUGUUGAAAUACGUCAAAAUUGCCGCUUUUGCUGCUGUAGUUCUAAGCAAUCUUAUCAUGACUGCUUAUGCACAAGGACAAGGGGAAUCACAGAAAUCACCAUAAAAAUUACAAUGAAUGACGAAUUCUAUAUCUGUUUUUGAAGCGGAUUAUGUAAUAUUGGAAUUUGACGUUAAUAAAUUAUUUGAAGGCAAUAA
This is a long non-coding RNA of Tribolium castaneum (red flour beetle), 289 nucleotides long. RefSeq lists it as uncharacterized. The record is from RefSeq and is a predicted model, not a curated record. The transcript is spliced from 3 exons. NCBI's taxonomy places the organism in Eukaryota, Metazoa, Arthropoda, Insecta, Coleoptera, Tenebrionidae.